This 440-nucleotide ribosomal RNA is filed under the name uncultured bacterium. RNAcentral describes it as "partial 16S ribosomal RNA". It matches the Rfam family "Bacterial small subunit ribosomal RNA", at positions 338 to 795 of the family's 1533-position model. The record is from RNAcentral.
CCUACGGGAGGCUGCAGUGGGGGCUAUUGCACAAUGGGGGAAACCCUGAUGCAGCGACGCCGCGUGUAGGAAGACGGUCCUCUGGAUUGUAAACUACUGUCCCCAGGGACGAAGAUGACGGUACCUGGGGAGGAAGCUCCGGCUAACUACGUUCCAGCAGCCGCGGUAAUACGUAUGGAGCGAGGGUUGUCCGGAAUUACUGGGUGUAAAGGGAGCGUAGGCGGGGAUGAAAGUUGGGUGUUAAAUCUACCGGCUAAACUGGUAGUCGCACGGAAUACUGCAGCUCUUGAGGGAAGGAGAGGCAGGCGGAAUUCCUAGUGUAGCGGUGAAAUGCGUAGAUAUUAGGAGGAACACCAGUGGCGAAGGCGGCCUGCUGGGCUUUUACUGACGCUGAGGCUCGAAAGUGUGGGGAGCAAACAGGAUUAGAUACCCGUGUAGUC